RNA transcript from Gadus macrocephalus (Pacific cod), 3064 nucleotides. It is a transcript of the gene named ABI family, member 3b, with no coding region annotated. The record is from RefSeq and is a predicted model, not a curated record. NCBI's taxonomy places the organism in Eukaryota, Metazoa, Chordata, Actinopteri, Gadiformes, Gadidae. The transcript is spliced from 9 exons.
CUCAUCUGCAUGCACAUAAUUUGUUGUCAGUAAGAUGCACACUUGCCUGAAGCAGGAUGUGCGCUAACCACGGAGCUGAGUAGUGGGCGUUGCAAGGUUUUAUUUUUUUUACCUGAGAGUGAAAAUCUUUAGCCUGCGGUGAUUCCGCAUUCAGCAGGAAGCCCAUCCUACCAGACUCCGCUGACAUUUCUCAAAAAACGGUAGUCUUCCCGUAGCUAUCGCUAAGCAACUUAAGAAUAACUACGUCUAAAAGUUAAACUUCAAAAGCGAAAGUAUGGAAACAAUGGCGGACCUAAAGACUUUUUCAGAGGUAAUUACGCAAAUAUUACAAGAAGUGCCAAGUGCGAGGAAGGGUCUCUCGGACAACCAGACCAACCUGAACCAAGUGGCCGAGUACUGCGAGAAGAAGUACCUGCAGGCAGAGGAUCCAACGAAGGCUCUGGAGGAAACCAAGGCCUUGACCACCCAGGCGUUGGCCAGUGUGACAUAUCAGAUAAACAGCCUGGCGUCCACUUUGUUGAAGCUGCUGGAUUCUCAGGCCUCGCAGGUCAAAGACAUAGGCGCCGCUGUCAACAUCCUCUCUCAGACAGUGGCUGUUCACAAGGAGAAAGUGGCCAGGAGGGAGAUUGGCUCAUUUAGCAUCCCCAAAAAGAUUGCCCGUACCAAAUGUAUGACUUUACCCAAGUCCGGCAUGGAACCCCAGCGGCGCUACACCAGAGAACCCGUCUCCUUCAACACCCUGGACUGCAUUGGACACUCCUUUGAGUUCCCUGUUCAGCCCGCCAAGAAGAGACCGGGGAGUACAGGAAGCACACACUCCAUAAAUCGUGGGCCUGUGGAGUGUCCCACGGUUCCUCCCACUCUACCCAGUGAGCCAAUCAGCAGUGCCAGUGACCGUUACGGGUCCAGCCUUGGCAUCGCCGUGGCCACUCCGUCCGUUCCCUCCUUCUCUUCUGGAUCCAACUUUGGCGGUGACAGCCUACCUCCUCCUCCUCCUCCGUCUGAACAUGGCUAUUCAGACUCAUCUCCACCCCCACCCCCGCCUCCCCAGCUCGGUUAUUCAGACUCAUCUCCACCUCCUCCUCCUCCUCCUCCACCUCCAGACUCAACCCAGGCUGGUUUUCCUGCUCCACCGCCACCGCCCUCCAUGACCUCUCCCGGGGGCUUCCCUCCACCUCCUCCAACCGGCGGUCUAUCGAACGGGAACCUUCCCCCGCCCCCACCUUCAAUGCUUUCCUCAGGAUCUCCUCCACCCCCACCCCCACCACCUCUGAUGUCUCCAUCAGGGGCACCUCCACCCCCACCUCCUCCGAUGUCUUCAUCAGGGGCUCCUCCUCCUCCACCACCUCCACUGCCUUCAUCAGGAGCUCCACCACCACCACCACCCCCACCACCUUCCUGGCACUAAUGAGCAUUGAAGCUUAGCUCUGAGCUAAGAGGACUAUUUUGAUUGGUCAGAAACAUUUCCCAUAAAGCAUUGCUGUUGGUUCUUCAAGGGUACUUGCUAUAUUUUUUUAAUGGAAGUCUUUUGUUGAUCUUUUAUGCCUGUCUUCGUAUGGAUAACAGCACAGCAAAGACUGGGCAUGGAACACAGGGAUUUGUUUCUCCUCUCCACAUGCAAGUUUAUCCUUGAGCUGUGAAGAUUGUUCACUCUCAUUUUAGUGCUCUGCUUCCUCCCGUUGCUUCCUCUUUUACCUUCCCCAAACAAUCGACACCAUCACAUGUUCUCAUUCGUUGUAUUCAAAACCUCAAGGCAAUUUUGCAGAUUUUUUUUCUUCUAUAGAAAUGCGUGUGGAUGAGUAAUAUGUUUUGCCCAGAGAUCUAAAUUAAAUACUUAGCUCUCAAGAGUGUGCAUUCCUAUGUACUGGAUGACAACACGGCGCUUAUAUCAGUUGAACAUGUUUCAACAGCACCUCUGCUGCAUUCCUACACGGCAAGCUCAAACUUGGAGCUGCAUGAGGAUACAUAAAGUGGCAUUCUUAGCGUAGGUGAGCAAGAAUAUGUUUAUAAAUGAGCCGGCAAAUGAAUAAUGUACUUGGGAGUUGUAUUACAAAAAGCCAAUAUAUGACCUGAUACCAUAACAACAAAUAUAUCACGGCAGAAACUGGAUCUAGGAACAAGAAUUGUGUCUACCUAGUGUAAGUAAAUGGACUGAAUGGGAGUUUAUUUGUAGCACUUCUACGUACGUUCUUUUGGGGUAGUCACAAGCCCACAUUUUACCCACGCUAUGUUGCUAGCCAUGCCCAGAAGGGGAACUUUUGAUGCAGAUGAGUAUCUGCAUUAUAUUCUUCUUUCAGUCUUAAACAUAAUAAAGAUUUUAAUUUGAUCUAAACACAAACAGGCAGGUAUAUUGAGAAUUUGUGGGACAGGCAUACCUGCUCCAACUUAAAUGAUUGGAGAUAGGUGCUGUCAAGGUUACGUCACUCACACAUUUCUACUUAGGGUGAGUUUAACUGCUCACGGACGCCAUAAACGGACUCAAUAGAUAGGCAGCAGGCGGUUAAUAACAUCUGUGUUUUUUCCGAAUCAAGCUGCUCGGGCUAAUUGCAAAGGUGUAAAUCCCUGAAGUGGAAGCCACCAUGUUUAUAUAUUAUACUAGCGUAGAGAUCCCUUUCAUAUUCCUGGGAUUGGCUCUCUCUCUCAUGGUCUGCUGUUUGAAGAAAAACAUCAAGCCAGAGGUUGAGGAGACCCUGGAACAGGACCUACGUCCCCCCAUGUUCAUCAGCCCCCUGUUCGAGGAGGGGGGCGUGGAGGCCCUCCAGGGAGGCAGGGUCUCUGAGCUUCACGGCCCACCUGCCUACGCUCUGCAGGACCACAACCCACCACCGCCCUAUUGGGAAGCCUCCUAGUUCUACUCAGAAGCACAUCAUUCACACCGCAAACGCAGAUUGGACAGAACAACAAUGACAUCAUCAACACGCGCCACACACCCUAUGCUCCACAUGCAUAGGAUGGAUUUUAAAGUUAAACUAUGUUCAUUUAAUAUGAUGUAAAUACCGUACUUCUACUUUUUUUGUGUAUUUUAUAAAGAAAUGUUGAGUCCAAUUAAAUGAUAUACAAAAUA